GCCUCAAUAUCCUAAAAACACCAGGUCCUGUCUGAUCUUGGAAGCAAAGCAGGAUCACUCCUGGUUAGUACUUUAAUGGGAGACUUCCUAUGAAUGUCAGGAGAUGAAGGCU
RNAcentral lists this ribosomal RNA (112 nucleotides) under Anolis carolinensis (green anole). Lineage: Eukaryota; Metazoa; Chordata; Lepidosauria; Squamata; Anolidae. The record is from RNAcentral.